This 1216-nucleotide long non-coding RNA is filed under the name Anser brachyrhynchus (Pink-footed goose). RNAcentral's name for it is "lncRNA (ENSABRG00000012343.1)". Lineage: Eukaryota; Metazoa; Chordata; Aves; Anseriformes; Anatidae. The record is from RNAcentral.
UGGCAACAUAUAAUUUUAUAUUACAUUUUUAAUUAAAAAAGGAAUCCAUAGCAUUGAUACCACAAUUUUACUCAUAGAGGAGCUUUCUAUUUAUUUAAAAAGUGAGUAAUAUUUGGCAAACAACCCUGUUCAGGUUUGAAAUGGGUCAUAUCCUUUCCCUCAGCUGAGCAAGUGAAAUGGAAGUGAAAUGGUCAGUGUGGCACCCUCUUCUGCUCCCACCCACCCCAAAUGUGGGAGAAGCGAAGAAACAAGCAGGUCUGUGAGGACAAACAAAUACAAGAAAAAGGUGGAAAACCCCUAUGAUUGAUUCCCUCAGAGUAUCACAGAACCAGGGGUCUGGUUGAGGCCUGUAUGGGGCAGCUCCUUCCCCUGUGGGCACCCCAUGCUCCCCACCACCUCCUCCAAGCUCUGGCUCCCCAUGCGUGCAACUGAGACCCUCUGCUUUCCGCCCCUCGCUUGGCUAUGGGCCUCAAUAUCUUCUUCCUUCCCCACCUACCCUCCUCAAGGCUGCCUGUGUCAGGUUGAUGAAGGGGUGAUGGUCAGGCAGUGCCAUCUAACAGCUCACCUUUGGGCCAGCUCUGCUUUCCCUGAAAGAGCACAUCUGCCUUAUGUUGAAGCAUUGUUAUAAGCUACAUCUACCACACAGGAAAAAUAAGUGUGAGCCUGUCGGGUUACAUUUGGAAGAGGAUCUGUGUUUAAGCCUCUCUGUGUUCUCCUCAGCUUCUAGCAGAAUUUAAAUUGUUGGACUCCUUGUGCAAUGCCUGGCACGUCUGAGGCAUUAGAUCAGUAUAAUCCAGCCUCGGCAGCAACCGGGGCCAUCUCAGGGUAUGGGAAUCACUGCAGGUUACUGCUGAGCUCCUCAGACGAGGCUGCUCCCUGCCUCCCAUAGCAGCAGCCUGCAUGGACAGUCUGCACCCUGGCAGUGGGUGCCAACACCCUCGUCCUUUGGUCACCACGGUCAGUGCAUCAGGAGAGAGGCUAGGAAAGGAAGGCUGAUGAUCCCUGAGCAGGGAGCCAGGAUGAGCCAGUAACUCACUGUUAGUCAUCCUGUCAAAGGAUCCCACCUCAGGUCAGGUGGGUUGGGGUCUGUCAAGGGGGUUCUCAUCCUCUGCUGUGCUUUUGGAAGCAGAAAGCAUGGACUGCAGUUCCUUUGAGCUAUCAGCAGACAUUUGCCAUCCUGAAUAAAUGCUCCAAGCAAUUGCCUGUUGGUGUCCCU